UGGGGAAUAUUGCACAAUGGGCGCAAGCCUGAUGCAGCCAUGCCGCGUGUAUGAAGAAGGCCUUCGGGUUGUAAAGUACUUUCAGCGAGGAGGAAGGCGAUAAGGUUAAUAACCUUGUCGAUUGACGUUACUCGCAGAAGAAGCAUCUGCUAACUCCGUGCCAGCAGCCGCGGUAAUACGGAGGGUGCUAGCGUCAAUCGGAAUUACUGGGCGUAAAGCGCACGCAGGCGGUCUGUUAAGUCAGAUGUGAAAUCCCCGGGCUCAACCUGGGAACUGCAUUUGAAACUGGCAGGCUUGAGUCUUGUAGAGGGGGGUAGAGUUCCAGGUGUAGCGGUGAAAUGCGUAGAAAUCUGGAGAAAUACCGGUGGCGAAGGCGGCCCCCUGGACAAAGACUGACGCUCAGGUGCGAAAGCGUGGGGGGCAAACA
This 427-nucleotide ribosomal RNA is filed under the name uncultured bacterium. Its description in RNAcentral is "bacterial SSU rRNA". It matches the Rfam family "Bacterial small subunit ribosomal RNA", at positions 355 to 774 of the family's 1533-position model. The record is from RNAcentral.